GAUGAACGCUGACAGAAUGCUUAACACAUGCAAGUCAACUGUGGCGGACGGGUGAGUAACGCGUAAAGAACUUGCCUCACAGUUAGGGACAACCUUUGGAAACGAAUGCUAAUACCUGAUACUGUGAGAGAGCUUUGCGUCCCAUUAGCUAGUUGGAGAGGUAACGGCUCACCAAGGCGAGGAUGGGUAGCCGGCCUGAGAGGGUGAUCGGCCACAAGGGGACUGAGAAACGGCCAUUACUCUGACGGGAGGCAGCAGUGGGGAAUAUUGGACAACGUGCCAAAGUCUGAUCCAGCAAUUCGGUGUGCACGAUGAAGUUUUCGGAAUGUAAAGUGCUUUCAGUUGGGAAGCGGUACCAACAGAAGAAGUGACGGCUAAAUACGUGCCAGCAGCCGCGGUAAUAC
RNAcentral lists this ribosomal RNA (404 nucleotides) under uncultured bacterium. RNAcentral's name for it is "partial 16S ribosomal RNA". It matches the Rfam family "Bacterial small subunit ribosomal RNA", at positions 28 to 526 of the family's 1533-position model. The record is from RNAcentral.